GGUGCUAUCGUCUAGUGGUUAGGACAUCACGUUGUGGUUGUACACACGUACCGCUAACAUUCACUAUCACGCAUUUCAUUGCCGUGAAAACGCCGGUUCGAUUCCGGCUAGCGCCA
This 116-nucleotide transfer RNA is filed under the name Microdochium trichocladiopsis. It matches the Rfam family "tRNA". From Rfam's summary of the family: Transfer RNA (tRNA) molecules are approximately 80 nucleotides in length. Their secondary structure includes four short double-helical elements and three loops (D, anti-codon, and T loops). Further hydrogen bonds mediate the characteristic L-shaped molecular structure. tRNAs have two regions of fundamental functional importance: the anti-codon, which is responsible for specific mRNA codon recognition, and the 3' end, to which the tRNAs corresponding amino acid is attached (by aminoacyl-tRNA synthetases). tRNAs cope with the degeneracy of the genetic code in two manners: having more than one tRNA (with a specific anti-codon) for a particular amino acid; and 'wobble' base-pairing, i.e. permitting non-standard base-pairing at the 3rd anti-codon position. The record is from Rfam by way of RNAcentral. Lineage: Eukaryota; Fungi; Ascomycota; Sordariomycetes; Xylariales; Microdochiaceae.